CGGUCCUACAGAUGUGGCGCCAGUUUAAAGAGGUCAUUUCUGAACCUACAAUCAGGUCCUAAAUGGAGCAGUGCAGCGGUCCCGAGCUUCACUGUUGGCGGUUUAGGUAGGACAAUGUACACUGCCAGGAUAACUGGCUUGGAAGGAUUCCGGUUCAAGCUACCACAUCACUCCUAUUCCACGACCCUCCUUGACCUUCACUCUUGCUACAUUGGCUCAUUCCUCCUACAAGACCCCUUCCUAUAGGUCUUGCCUGCUCAUGGUGUGGUUAUGAGGACCAGAAUCGAGCUUCGAGAAAGAGGGCCAAUUUAAAGAAGCUUCCCUAAACCACUGACGCAUACGUGCUGUACUGGAAAGAUGCCGGGACAAGUACUCCUGGCCACAGGUGCCUCAUGCACUAUUCACAAUAGCCAAGACAUGGAAGCAAUCCAAGUGCCCAU
Equus caballus (horse) is the source of this 440-nucleotide long non-coding RNA. RefSeq lists it as uncharacterized. The record is from RefSeq and is a predicted model, not a curated record. NCBI's taxonomy places the organism in Eukaryota, Metazoa, Chordata, Mammalia, Perissodactyla, Equidae.